UACGUAGGGCGCGAGCGUUAAUCGGAAUUACUGGGCGUAAAGCGUGCGCAGGCGGUUUUGUAAGCCAGAUGUGAAAUCCCGGGGCUCAACCUCGGAACUGCAUUUGUGACUGCAUCGCUGGAGUGCGGCAGAGGGGGAUGGAAUUCCGCGUGUAGCAGUGAAAUGCGUAGAUAUGCGGAGGAACACCGAUGGCGAAGGCAGGUCUCUGGGCUGACACUGACGCUCAUGCACGAAAGCGUGGGGAGCAAACAGG
RNAcentral lists this ribosomal RNA (253 nucleotides) under uncultured prokaryote. RNAcentral's name for it is "partial 16S ribosomal RNA". It matches the Rfam family "Bacterial small subunit ribosomal RNA", at positions 524 to 776 of the family's 1533-position model. The record is from RNAcentral.